Molecule: long non-coding RNA, 367 nt
Organism: Gracilinanus agilis (Agile Gracile Mouse Opossum)
Lineage: Eukaryota; Metazoa; Chordata; Mammalia; Didelphimorphia; Didelphidae
Exons: 3
Source: RefSeq, a predicted model, not a curated record
GGAGGUCAUGCUGGAGAAUGUGCAGAAUCUACUCUCUGUGGGACUUCCAGCUCCUAGAGAAGAAUUGAUCUCACAUUUUGAGCAAGGGAAAGUUCCAUGGAUGCUGGAGCAAAAAGGCCCAAGAAAAUCCUGUCCAGAUGGAGAGACUAGACCUGGAAUAAGGGAGACUACUGCAAACAUGAGCAUUUCUGUGGAAGAAACACAACAGCAAAGAUUAAUAAAUGGUGGUCACUGCAACCCCAGUUUGAGAGAAACCUGGGAUUCUGAUAUCAAGACAAAGAAAAAACAAAAGAGUCAUUGCAAAUUUGAUAAAGAUGUAAAGAGUUUUAGACAAUGUUCAGUCCUAAUUCACUGUAAUAAAACAACA